UGGCGGUGGAUCUGCAUUCAGUCGAGUCGAGAACCCGCGAGGGGGGACAGCGGCAACGGGGUAGUAUUCGGAACGUGCCCAGAGGACGGGGAUAGCGGCGGGAAACUGCCGGUAAUACCCGAUGAUCUCGAGAGAGCAAAGUGUGUGAUUCCGCCUUUGGAGCGGCCGACAUUGUAUUAGCUAGUUGGCGGGGUAACGGCCCACCAAGGCUGUGAUGCCUAGGGGAUGUGAGAGCAUGAUCCCCACCAUUGGGACUGAGACACUGCCCAGACACCUACGGGUGGCUGCAGUCGAGAAUCUUCGUCAACUGGGCGAAAACCUGAACGAGCGACGCCGCGUGCGGGAUGAAGGCCUUUGGGUUUGUAAACCUGCUGUCGAGGGGGAUGAAGGCUUGAAAGUCAUCUUUCAAGUUUGACAGAGCCCUGGAGGAAGCACGGGCUAAGUUCGUGCCAGCAGCCGCGGUAAUACGAACUGUGCGAACGUUAUUCGGAAUCACUGGGCUUACAGGGUGCGUAGGCGGCUAUUCAGGUCAAGUGUGAAAGCCCCCGGCUCAAACG
RNAcentral lists this ribosomal RNA (557 nucleotides) under uncultured Planctomycetota bacterium. Its description in RNAcentral is "bacterial SSU rRNA". It matches the Rfam family "Bacterial small subunit ribosomal RNA", at positions 37 to 615 of the family's 1533-position model. The record is from RNAcentral. Lineage: Bacteria; Pseudomonadati; Planctomycetota.